CAGGUAUCUACUCGAACUCGGACUAGGAUGCUUUCUCCGAUUUUGAUCCAUCUUCUCCAAGAUGAAUCAGCAAGCUCUUGGAUCUACCUUCAAUCAGAUCUUCGACAGAACCUCGAUCAACCCUUGAUCGCAAUCUUCUUCUUCCUUCGUGCAGAUCGACCAGCAUCCGACCCUUCGAUCACACCAGAUAGAUCAGCCCAAC
RNAcentral lists this long non-coding RNA (202 nucleotides) under Elaeis guineensis (African oil palm). RNAcentral's name for it is "long non-coding RNA (EGUI_LNC027040)". The record is from RNAcentral. Lineage: Eukaryota; Viridiplantae; Streptophyta; Magnoliopsida; Arecales; Arecaceae.